RNAcentral lists this ribosomal RNA (524 nucleotides) under Acinetobacter baumannii. RNAcentral describes it as "bacterial SSU rRNA". It matches the Rfam family "Bacterial small subunit ribosomal RNA", at positions 28 to 525 of the family's 1533-position model. Lineage: Bacteria; Pseudomonadati; Pseudomonadota; Gammaproteobacteria; Moraxellales; Moraxellaceae. The record is from RNAcentral.
CCGGUGAGCGGAAAAGGGUGGGAGACGCUGGCGGCAGGCUUACACAUGCAGUCGUCGCGGGGGCAAGGUAGCUUGCUACUGGACCUCGCGGCGGACGGGUGAGUAAUGCUUAGGAAUCUGCCUAUUAGUGGGGGACAACAUCUCCAAAGGGAUGCUAAUACCGCAUACGUCCUACGGGAGAAAGCAGGGGAUCUUCGGACCUUGCGCUAAUAGAUGAGCCUAAGUCGGAUUAGCUAGUUGGUGGGGUAAAGGCCUACCAAGGCGACGAUCUGUAGCGGGUCUGAGAGGAUGAUCCGCCACACUGGGACUGAGACACGGCCCAGACUCCUACGGGAGGCAGCAGUGGGGAAUAUUGGACAAUGGGGGGAACCCUGAUCCAUCCAUGCCGCGUGUGUGAAGAAGGCCUCAUGGUUGUAAAGCACUUUCACCGAGGAGGAGGCUACUUUAGUUAAUACCUAGAGAUAGUGGGACGUUACUCGCAAAAUAAGCACCGGGCUAACUCUGUGCCAGCCGCCGCGGUAAAA